RNAcentral lists this long non-coding RNA (1355 nucleotides) under Taeniopygia guttata (zebra finch). RNAcentral's name for it is "lncRNA (ENSTGUG00000019003.1)". Lineage: Eukaryota; Metazoa; Chordata; Aves; Passeriformes; Estrildidae. The record is from RNAcentral.
AUGGCCCCGCCGGGGCUGCGCUCCGCCCGCGCUGUCCGGGCUGCAGGCUCCUGCGGGAGCCAGCCGCGUCCCCACCUUCGGUGUGAAUUUGCUCUCUCUCUUCUUCACACAACCGAACCCCCCCACCCCUUUUUUUUUUCCUUUUUUUUUUUUUUUUUUUUUUCUGUCUCUUUCUGUCUUUUUCAGCUACUUGGGCGUGUUCUCCAAAGGAGGGAGUUGUCCAGCUGGGGGGGGGGAAGAGAGGCGGGGAGGUGGGCAGGAGGGGAACAGGAGCGGCAGAGGGAUCACCUGCCUGCGGGCAGGCUCAGCGCGAUCCUCCUCUUGCGGGCACGGCCCGGGGGAACGCGGCGGGGGCUCCGGGGGGUGUCACCGGGGGACGCCCCCGGGGCUGGCCCCGGCCCGCCGGGCGGCAUUGGUGGCCCGCACCCCGCGCUGCUCCGCGCCGGCAGCGGGGCCGCAGCUUUGACUCCGCGCUCGCCGCCCGCUCGCCGGGGCCGCCGAGCACCUGGGGCCGGUUUUAUGCGUUUGUCCCGACGCUCCUCCCCCCGGUCUGCCUCCCGCGUGUCGCGGGCUGUCCCGCAGCCUCCCGGUCCCCGCGCCGAGCUGAGCCCCGGGCGGCCGCGGCAUUCCCGGAGCGCCGCUCCGCCCGCACCGGGGGCUCGGCGGGGCAGGUGCGGGGGGAGCCGCCGAGGGGGAGCCCCGUGUGCCCGCAGGGACCUCCCCGCCGCUUUUGCGGCCGAUCCUUCGGUGACAGGGCAGGGCUCGGUCCCCGUGGCAGUGGGCGCACGGCCGUGUCCGCGGUCCGAGCCCACGCCGGGGGCGGCCCGGGGGCUGCGGCCGCCCGGGAGCUCCGCGGAGCCGCCCGCCUGCCGCGGGCGGGGGCGCCGGGCCGGCCGGGAAGAGGAUCCCGGCUCCUCGUUGCGGGAAUUUACACGGAUAUGAAACAUUAUGACGGGAUGCCUCAGCGUCCCUCGGAGGAGCCGGGCCAGAGCCCCCCGAGGAGUCGGGCUGGAGCACCUCUCACGGGGCAGCGGCCGGGGCCGCACGGACCCGCUGCUCUCCCGAACCACCCCAGGGGGGUCCGAGCGGGGCGCAGCCGGUCCUGGGGGGUGGGCCAGGUCCGUCCUUGCCGACUUCCCGGGGCAGCGAAGGGGCGUCCCAGUCCAGCUCUCCAUCGCUCCGCAUUCCCCGGUGCGGCCGAUGAUUCCCAUCACCUUGGCGCCCCGCAGCCUCUCCGCGGAGCCGGGCCGUGCUCCCCACUGCGCCCGGAGCCAGCGGGCGGCCCGGCCCCGGCCCGGCCCGGAGUGCGGAGCGAAAUGCGGGGCUGAGGGGGUGCGGGGUGUGGGAGCGCAGGA